AGUGAACGCUGGCGGUAGGCCUAACACAUGCAAGUCGAACGGCAGCACAGUAAGAGCUUGCUCUUACGGGUGGCGAGUGGCGGACGGGUGAGGAAUACAUCGGAAUCUACUUUUUCGUGGGGGAUAACGUAGGGAAACUUACACUAAUACCGCAUACGACCUACGGGUGAAAGCAGGGGAUCUUCGGACCUUGCGCGAUUGAAUGAGCCGAUGUCGGAUUAGCUAGUUGGCGGGGUAAAGGCCCACCAAGGCGACGAUCCGUAGCUGGUCUGAGAGGAUGAUCAGCCACACUGGAACUGAGACACGGUCCAGACUCCUACGGGAGGCAGCAGUGGGGAAUAUUGGGCAAUGGGCGCAAGCCUGAUCCAGCCAUACCGCGUGGGUGAAGAAGGCCUUCGGGUUGUAAAGCCCUUUUGUUGGGAAAGAAAAGCAGCAGGUUAAUACCCCGCUGUUCUGACGGUACCCAAAGAAUAAGCACCGGCUAACUUCGUG
This 492-nucleotide ribosomal RNA is filed under the name uncultured bacterium. RNAcentral describes it as "partial 16S ribosomal RNA". It matches the Rfam family "Bacterial small subunit ribosomal RNA", at positions 29 to 507 of the family's 1533-position model. The record is from RNAcentral.